Molecule: long non-coding RNA, 2503 nt
Organism: Biomphalaria glabrata
Lineage: Eukaryota; Metazoa; Mollusca; Gastropoda; Planorbidae
Exons: 3
Source: RefSeq, a predicted model, not a curated record
GGUUAGGUGUGAAUAGACAGUUGUGAGUUGCGAACUGGAAAACAUAAAAAGUCAGAAAAGCCACGGACCUCAUGCUUGUUCAGGAUUCAACUGAAAACUAAGUUAGAACUUGUUAUCAAAAGGGAAAAAUGGACACUGAUGUGGUAUGGUUUGAGGAUGAACAGUUCAUUCCAUUGGCACUUCGUCAAUAUUCAAGAGCUGAAAGUGACAUGUGCUGCUUGACAGAUAUGAACAUUUCUGCUACACCACUUAACACUAUAACUUGUGAGAAGGGGAAUCAUCAUAGCAAAUUUAAAGACCUGCAAAGCUUUUCACUUGCUGAUUUACCUAGAUCUUACUGGAGUAAUGAUAUCCUUGAUCUUAUAAAGUCUACUGUAGAUCUUGCUAUAAUGGCUCAACUCCCAUAGACAAAUAAAACUGGAUUUUUCUAGCAGGGCACAGAUAAAGUUAACCAAGUUUUUAUCAUCUAGGAAAAUACCCAGUGCAAAUGCCAAAAAUGUUAACUUUCUGACAGUCCUAGAAAGACUUGGGGGAAAGUCAUGAUUGCCACCUCAACAAAUUUGCUAAAAUCUUGCACUUUAGUGACUGAGAUCAAAUGUACUUUUUUUUUUUGACAAUGGUGAGACAAAAGAUGAAGUGAAGUAUUUGUUUGGAGAUGCCUAUCUGAGCAAUUAUAGAGGUGUCUGUAAGUUUUUCUGUUACUCAUGCGAUAUGGAUCUACUGGAAAAGCUGAUUGCUUACCUGAGGUCAACCCAUAUUUCAGACCUGAUCAUGAAACAGCUACAAGGUUUGAUGAUCCUUCAAGAGAAGUCUUCAUCUUUCAUGUCAAAGUUAGGGAUUAAUAGAAAAGACCCUUCGCAGCCAGGGCACACAGCAGCAUCAAAUUCAAUACAUGGUCUUAAUUUGUUCCAUUUCCCCACUGAAACAUGCUUGAUGCUAGCAUGUGGGUGACAAACCAUUACAAGUAAUCUUUCUUCUUCACUUUGACCGUUUCAUAAUUAUUUUCAAAGGCAUCCAUCCAUUUUUCUGUCAAAAGCAUCCAUCCAUUUGUCUGCCUAAGUCUCGGUAGUUCUUUGAGUUUAAGCUUAGGUGAAGGCCACCUUUCUUACUCUAAAAUCUUGUAAGAAUUGUCUAAACAUUUAGCAGCAUCAAAUUCAAUACAUGGUCUUAAUUUGUUCCAUUUCCCCACUGAAACAUGCUUGAUGCUAGCAUGUGGGUGACAAACCAUUACAAGUAAUCUUUCUUCUUCACUUUGACCGUUUCAUAAUUAUUUUCAAAGGCAUUCAUCCAUUUUUCUGUCAAAAGCAUCCAUCCAUUUGUCUGCCUAAGUCUCGGUAGUUCUUUGAGUUUAAGCUUAGGUGAAGGCCACCUUUCUUACUCUAAAAUCUUGUAAGAAUUGUCUAAACAUUUAGCAGCAUCAAAUUCAAUACAUGGUCUUAAUUUGUUCCAUUUCCCCACUGAAACAUGCUUGAUGCUAGCAUGUGGGUGACAAACCAUUACAAGUAAUCUUUCUUCUUCACUUUGACCGUUUCAUAAUUAUUUUCAAAGGCAUCCAUCCAUUUUUCUGUCAAAAGCAUCCAUCCAUUUGUCUGCCUAAGUCUCGGUAGUUCUUUGAGUUUAAGCUUAGGUGAAGGCCACCUUUCUUACUCUAAAAUCUUGUAAGAAUUGUCUAAUCAUUUAGCAGCAUCAAAUUCAAUACAUGGUCUUAAUUUGUUCCAUUUCCCCACUGAAACAUGCUUGAUGCUAGCAUGUGGGUGACAAACCAUUACAAGUAAUCUUUCUUCUUCACUUUGACCGUUUCAUAAUUAUUUUCAAAGGCAUCCAUCCAUUUUUCUGUCAAAAGCAUCCAUCCAUUUGUCUGCCUAAGUCUCGGUAGUUCUUUGAGUUUAAGCUUAUGUGAAGGCCACCUUUCUUACUCUAAAAUCUUGUAAGAAUUGUCUAAACAUUUAGCAGCAUCAAAUUCAAUACAUGGUCUUAAUUUGUUCCAUUUCCCCACUGAAACAUGCUUGAUGCUAGCAUGUGGGUGACAAACCAUUACAAGUAAUCUUUCUUCUUCACUUUGACCGUUUCAUAAUUAUUUUCAAAGGCAUCCAUCCAUUUGUCUGCCUAAGUCUCGGUAGUUCUUUGAGUUUAAGCUUAGGUGAAGGCCAUCUUUCUUACUCUCACAUUUUUUAAGAGUUGUCUAAACAUUUUGCUUAUGCAAAUAUGAUUGAUCUUGUUUUCAGUCCUAAUGUCUGCUGAUCUCCAAAGUGAUACUUUGGUGGUAAAAUAAACUGCCUUGUAUAAUCAAGUUGUUGAGAACACAUACGUAUAGGAAUCUCUCUCCUUUUUGUUUAAUUCUUCAAGAGCUUAGGUGCCCAUGAUCUCCUCCUAUCCAGAGUUAUCACCUCCUGUAUUUGCAUUUAGGUCUUCCAUUAGGACAGUAAUAUCUAUGUUUGGUUAUGUAGCAAGGAUCAUUUGCAACCUACAGUAAAAUGAUUUUUUUCCCUUUCACCUCACCAUC